This 461-nucleotide ribosomal RNA is filed under the name uncultured bacterium. Its description in RNAcentral is "bacterial SSU rRNA". It matches the Rfam family "Bacterial small subunit ribosomal RNA", at positions 918 to 1379 of the family's 1533-position model. The record is from RNAcentral.
GGCCCGCACAAGCGGAGGAACAUGUGGUUUAAUUCGAUGAUACGCGAGGAACCUUACCCGGGCUUGAACUGCUGGUGCAUGGACUGGAGACAGUCCUUCCCUUCGGGGCUCCAGCGGAGGUGCUGCAUGGUUGUCGUCAGCUCGUGCCGUGAGGUGUCGGCUUAAGUGCCAUAACGAGCGCAACCCCUUUCCGCAGUUGCCAUCAGGUUAAGCUGGGCACUCUGCGGACACUGCCACCGCAAGGUGUGAGGAAGGUGGGGAUGACGUCAAAUCAGCACGGCCCUUACGUCCGGGGCUACACACGUGUUACAAUGGCGCGUACAGAGGGCUGUGUCUGUGCAAACAGAUACGAAUCCCGAAAGCGCGCCUCAGUUCGGACUGGGGUCUGCAACCCGACCCCACGAAGCUGGAUUCGCUAGUAAUCGCGCAUCAGCCAUGGCGCGGUGAAUACGUUCCCGGGC